UACGUAGGGUGCGAGCGUUAAUCGGAAUUACUGGGCGUAAAGGGCGCGUAGGCGGCUUGACAAGUCAAAGGUGAAAUCCCUCGGCUCAACUGAGGAACUGCCUUUGAAACUGUCUGGCUUGAGGCCGGGAGGGGGUAGCGGAAUUCCCAGUGUAGCGGUGAAAUGCGUAGAUAUUGGGAGGAACACCAGUGGCGAAGGCGGCUACCUGGACCGGUUCUGACGCUGAUGCGCGAAAGCGUGGGUAGCAAACAGG
Molecule: ribosomal RNA, 253 nt
Filed under: uncultured bacterium
Lineage: Bacteria
Description: partial 16S ribosomal RNA
Rfam family: Bacterial small subunit ribosomal RNA
Source: RNAcentral